This 270-nucleotide ribosomal RNA is filed under the name uncultured bacterium. RNAcentral's name for it is "partial 16S ribosomal RNA". The record is from RNAcentral.
CUGCUGCCUUCCGUAGGAGUUUGGGCCGUGUCUCAGUCCCAAUGUGGCCGUCCACCCUCUCAGGCCGGCUACUGAUCGUCGCUUUGGUAGGCCGUUACCCUGCCAACUGGCUAAUCAGACGCGGGCCCAUCUUAUACCACCGGAGUUUUUCACCCUGGGCCAUGCGGCCCUGGGCGCUUAUGCGGUCUUAGCACCUAUUUCUAAGUGUUAUCCCCCUGUAUAAGGCAGGUUACCCACGCGUUACUCACCCGUCCGCCACUAAAGUAAAAA